GGAAAUAUUUUUGCCAACAACUUAAGAGGAAAUGGAGAUUUAAAAAAAAAAAAAAGACACAAGAAACUUUUAGAAGAAAGCAUAAUACUAAACUUUUGUGACACUGAAUUAAGCAAAAAUUUCUUCAAUAAAAGAAAAACUGAUAAAUUAGAACUAAUCACAAUUUUAAAGCCUGAUGUAAAAACAUCAGUAAGGUACUGUGCCGCACUCAGGCAGUGCCUGCAGGGCAACCCUACCCGGCCCCUGCCUCCCCACAGGUCCCUCCUGGUUCCAGCCCUCCCCAGUGUCGCCACGCACUGCCCAAAGGAACCGCAGCCCAGCCUCUCCGUCACAGAGAGCUCACUUGGGCCACACCUGGCCCUGCGCCCUGAGCUGGACCUAGGGAGAGGGGGUUCCCCGCGCUCAGCGUGCCCAGGGCUCCUCUGGAUCAGCGCGGGGCACCGGCGUGCGCCAGACGCAGCAGAUACCUGGUGGCCUGUUCCAGGCCUGAGAGCCCGCUUCCAACGCCCCCGUCGUCGGGGCGGUCAGCAAUGGUUCCAGUUGCGGGAAGGACAGAUGAGCCGAGUGUGGGCGAGGAGAGGACAACCACCCCGACCAGGGCCCGGGAUGCCAGAGCGCAACCACGCGCUCCGCCCAAAGGGUCUCACAGGCACCGGUCAGACCCGCUCCCCGGCCGCUCUGCACAGGCCUAUCCCAAGGCCUGCGAGUCUUGGUGCUCACCCGUCCAGCCUUAGGGCCCGUCCCGAUUUCCCAUCCAUGGCCGCGCCCAACCCUCACCAGAGACCCGGGAGCCACACUCACCAGGAAGAGUGCACAGCUCGGCCAUCUUUCCGCGUUGAUCUCAGCACAGCCAGGCCGCUUGCCCCUCUGCCACCUUCCCGGCUGGGCCGCACGGGGGCAGGGUGGUGCCUCAGGGAACACAGAGGCGCCCCCUCCUGGCUCAGUGCACCCCCUGCCCACAUUCCCCGAGGCCAGACCCGGAGAGGGGACAGGGGACACUGA
RNAcentral lists this long non-coding RNA (1002 nucleotides) under Oryctolagus cuniculus (rabbit). RNAcentral's name for it is "lncRNA (ENSOCUG00000036291.1)". Lineage: Eukaryota; Metazoa; Chordata; Mammalia; Lagomorpha; Leporidae. The record is from RNAcentral.